GAAAUGUGAGUGACGAUGUCCAUGGCAACGGGUUCCCUGCAGAGAUGAAAUGGCGCCUCUGUGACAGUGCAUUGCAGAACACGAGAGCCUCAUCGUUUCUUAUUUGUCUUCAGGGUCUCUAAAACAGAUGCUCAUUUAGCUGGAUUUUUAUUUUGGCCUCUGUUAGAGGUCAGUCUCAUCACCCAUACCCCAGUGUGACAAUAGCAUUUGAUUAGUGAAGGAGUGCUUUGGAUAUUUUUCCUGCUGGUAGAGUUUUCCCUGAUCAUUCAUUCUACCUCAUUUGAUGUACAAAUAGCAGGUGCCAGACACUGAUUGUUUUCAUUCACUUCAUUCAUUCUCUCUCAGCUACUCGAUGGCUUGGAACCCUUAAUAUAUAUUCCUGAGUGAAUUAGCAAAUAUGAAGCAUGUGGCCUAUGGCUAGGGCAUGGUACUAAUUUAAGGGCCUCACAGAAAACUUAUGACCUUGCCCUUGUGAUAGUGAAACUGUCAGAUCCCUUCUGGGGACAGUAAUCCCUUCUGUCUUCUGAUUAUCCCCACAGGAAAAGCAUCCAUUAAGAAAGAAGAAAGGAGCAUGGGCUUGCAUGACAGAAGACAGUAUGGGAAUCAACACUGCAGAAAAACACUAAUGGCAACUCUGGUAACAGGUAUUAUCUCCAUGAGAGCUACUGGAUGCUCACAGAAAAGAUGGGGAAAGUCUAGUCUCUCGUAAGCAGCACAGCUAGAGGAACAGAACAGCUGCACCUGCAGAAAGAGCUGGAGACUCCCCCAAACACAUCUGCGCAUCCUCCUAUGUCCUUCCAUGGGUUCAUCCACUUGACUUAAAUUGCCAAGCAAUGUGACGUUGUUAGUAAUAAACCACUAUUCAUGUUGAACAUCUAGAAGAUCAGAAGGAUUUCUACUUUGAUCUUUCUUUCUUUGACUCACUUUGAGUUUAUUUUGCUCCUCUUUUUGCACUUUUGAAGUGUCAAUAUUACAUGUUUUUUCUUUUCUAAUAUAAGCAUG
This 1002-nucleotide long non-coding RNA is filed under the name Callithrix jacchus (white-tufted-ear marmoset). Its description in RNAcentral is "lncRNA (ENSCJAG00000080310.1)". Lineage: Eukaryota; Metazoa; Chordata; Mammalia; Primates; Cebidae. The record is from RNAcentral.